UCGGGAAUUUUGGGCAAUGGGGGAAACCCUGACCCAGCAACGCCGCGUGAAGGAUGAAGUAUUUCGGUAUGUAAACUUCGAAAGAAUAGGAAGAAUAAAUGACGGUACUAUUUAUAAGGUCCGGCUAACUACGUGCCAGCAGCCGCGGUAAUACGUAGGGACCAAGCGUUGUUCGGAUUUACUGGGCGUAAAGGGCGCGUAGGCGGCAUGACAAGUCACUUGUGAAAUCUCUGGGCUUAACCCAGAACGGCCAAGUGAUACUGUCGCGCUAGAGUGCAGAAGGGGCAAUCGGAAUUCUUGGUGUAGCGGUGAAAUGCGUAGAUAUCAAGAGGAACACCUGAGGUGAAGACGGGUUGCUGGGCUGACACUGACGCUGAGGCGCGAAAGCCAGGGGAGCAAACGGGAUUAGAUACCCCGGUAGUCCCUGAGCGGGCUGGCAAGGCGCAU
Molecule: ribosomal RNA, 447 nt
Filed under: uncultured bacterium
Lineage: Bacteria
Description: bacterial SSU rRNA
Rfam family: Bacterial small subunit ribosomal RNA
Source: RNAcentral